UUUCUGCUGCCAAGUAUGGCAUGGAGGAGAUGUCCCUUCAAGACGGUUAGACACAUAGUCUGCAGCAGAAUGCCAUUCAUGGCCAUCCUGGAUCUCUGUCAGAGUCGCCAUCUGUUGCAAAAAAGGAGCUUCUUUGACAAAGGUGAAAGCAUCAUCCAUCUACGGUACCAGAAGAAAAAAUACUGCUCACUGAUUUGCCAAUAAGCAAUAUUAAAGGAGAAGGCAAAUAGAAUGAUCUAUCUAAACAGCAGAGCUCAUCAUUCAGUAGAAUCCAUAAGAACAGCAGGUCACAUCCUCCGGCCGCUAUUUUUAAAGACCUGAAAAUAAUAGUACUCUAAGCUCAGCCUUAUUCAGAUUCCAGAGCUGAUGAUUGGGUGUGACCAGAGACAAACGAAGCCUUGGAACAAUUUCCCAGGAGUCCCAUUCACAUGGGGAUAUGGUAGCCCCGCAACUUUUUUUUGUUUACAAAAUUGUUUUUUAUAGACGCAAUAAAGAUCAAAAUAUAAAAGCC
This 511-nucleotide long non-coding RNA is filed under the name Mus musculus (house mouse). RNAcentral's name for it is "RIKEN cDNA 4930578N18 gene (4930578N18Rik)". The record is from RNAcentral. Lineage: Eukaryota; Metazoa; Chordata; Mammalia; Rodentia; Muridae.